Molecule: ribosomal RNA, 255 nt
Filed under: uncultured bacterium
Lineage: Bacteria
Description: partial 16S ribosomal RNA
Rfam family: Bacterial small subunit ribosomal RNA
Source: RNAcentral
UACGGAGGGUGCGAGCGUUGUCCGGAAUCACUGGGCGUAAAGGGCGCGUAGGCGGCGCGGAUAGUCGGCGGUGAAAGCCCGGAGCUCAACUCCGGGUCGGCCGUCGAUACUUCCGGGCUUGAGCACUGUAGAGGCAGAUGGAAUUCCGGGUGUAGCGGUGGAAUGCGUAGAGAUCCGGAAGAACACCGGUGGCGAAGGCGGUCUGCUGGGCAGUUGGCUGACGCUGAUGCGCGACAGCGUGGGGAGCAAACGAGG